AUUGAACGCUGGCGGCAUGCUUUACACAUGCAAGUCGAACGGUAACAGGGUGCUUGCACCGCUGACGAGUGGCGAACGGGUGCGUAAUGCGUCGGAACGUGCCGAGUAGUGGGGGAUAACGCAGCGAAAGUUGUGCUAAUACCGCAUACGUACUGAGGUAGAAAGUGGGGGACCUUCGGGCCUCACGCUAUUCGAGCGGCCGACGUCUGAUUAGCUAGUAGGUGAGGUAAAGGCUCACCUAGGCGACGAUCAGUAGCGGGUCUGAGAGGAUGAUCCGCCACACUGGGACUGAGACACGGCCCAGACUCCUACGGGAGGCAGCAGUGAGGAAUUUUGGACAAUGGGCGAAAGCCUGAUCCAGCCAUGCCGCGUGUCUGAAGAAGGCCUUCGGGUUGUAAAGGACUUUUGUCAGGGAGGAAAUCCCUAGUGCUAAUAACACUGGGGGAUGACAGUACCUGAGGAAUAAGCACCGGCUAACUACGUGCCAGCCGCCGCAGUAA
Molecule: ribosomal RNA, 500 nt
Filed under: uncultured bacterium
Lineage: Bacteria
Description: partial 16S ribosomal RNA
Rfam family: Bacterial small subunit ribosomal RNA
Source: RNAcentral